This is a long non-coding RNA of Oncorhynchus keta (chum salmon), 1710 nucleotides long. RefSeq lists it as uncharacterized. Lineage: Eukaryota; Metazoa; Chordata; Actinopteri; Salmoniformes; Salmonidae. The record is from RefSeq and is a predicted model, not a curated record. The transcript has 3 exons.
GAAACCAGGCUACUUAAUAUUCAACCCACAACUCAUAGGUGAAACCAGGCUACUUAAUAAUCAACCCACAACUCAUAGGUGAAACCAGGCUACUUAAUAAUCAACCCACAACUCAUAGGUGAAACCAGGCUACUUAAUAAUCAACCCACAACUCAUAGGUGAAACCAGGCUACUUAAUAUUCAACCCACAACUCAUAGGUGAAACCAGGCUACUUAAUAAUCAACCCACAACUCAUAGGUGAAACCAGGCUACUUAAUAUUCAACCCACAACUCAUAGGUGAAACCAGGCUACUUAAUAUUCAACCCACAACUCAUAGGUGAAACCAGGCUACUUAAUAAUCAACCCACAACUCAUAGGUGAAACCAGGCUACUUAAUAUUCAACCCACAACUCAUAGGUGAAACCAGGCUACUUAAUAUUCAACCCACAACUCAUAGGUGAAACCAGGCUACUUAAUAAUCAACCCACAACUCAUAGGUGAAACCAGGCUACUUAAUAUUCAACCCACAACUCAUAGGUGAAACCAGGCUACUUAAUAUUCAACCCACAACUCAUAGGUGAAACCAGGCUACUUAAUAUUCAACCCACAACUCAUAGGUGAAACCAGGCUACUUAAUAUUCAACCCACAACUCAUAGGUGAAACCAGGCUACUUAAUAAUCAACCCACAACUCAUAGGUGAAACCAGGCUACUUAAUAAUCAACCCACAACUCAUAGGUGAAACCAGGCUACUUAAUAUUCAACCCACAACUCAUAGGUGAAACCAGGCUACUUAAUAUUCAACCCACAACUCAUAGGUGAAACCAGGCUACUUAAUAAUCAACCCACAACUCAUAGGUGAAACCAGGCUACUUAAUAUUCAACCCACAACUCAUAGGUGAAACCAGGCUACUUAAUAAUCAACCCACAACUCAUAGGUGAAACCAGGCUACUUAAUAUUCAACCCACAACUCAUAGGUGAAACCAGGCUACUUAAUAAUCAACCCACAACUCAUAGGUGAAACCAGGCUACUUAAUAUUCAACCCACAACUCAUAGGUGAAACCAGGCUACUUAAUAUUCAACCCACAACUCAUAGGUGAAACCAGGCUACUUAAUAUUCAACCCACAACUCAUAGGUGAAACCAGGCUACUUAAUAAUCAACCCACAACUCAUAGGUGAAACCAGGCUACUUAAUAAUCAACCCACAACUCAUAGGUGAAACCAGGCUACUUAAUAUUCAACCCACAACUCAUAGGUGAAACCAGGCUACUUAAUAAUCAACCCACAACUCAUAGGUGAAACCAGGCUACUUAAUAAUCAACCCACAACUCAUAGGUGAAACCAGGCUACUUAAUAUUCAACCCACAACUCAUAGGUGAAACCAGGCUACUUAAUAAUCAACCCACAACUCAUAGGUGAAACCAGGCUACUUAAUAUUCAACCCACAACUCAUAGGUGAAACCAGGCUACUUAAUAAUCAACCCACAACUCAUAGGUGAAACCAGGCUACUUAAUAUUCAACCCACAACUCAUAGGUGAAACCAGGCUACUUAAUAUUCAACCCACAACUCAUAGGUGAAACCAGGCUACUUAAUAAUCAACCCACAACUCAUAGGUGAAACCAGGCUACUUAAUAUUCAACCCACAACUCAUAGGUGAAACCAGGCUACUUAAUAUUCAACCCACAACUCAUAGGUGAAACCAGGCUACUUAAUAUUCAACCCACA